AUGAGGAUCACGGCUUGGAACUGCCGGGGGUUGGGGAACGGCCCGGCAGUGAGAGGGCUUCUGGAUUUACAGAAGUAGGAGGACCCUGAUGUUCUUUUCUUGUCAGAAACCAAACUGAAUGGAAGGAAAAUGGAAAAUCUGAAAUGGCGAUUGGGAAUGAAUAACCUGGUGAUGAGGGACUGUGAAGGAAAAAGUGGCGGCCUUGCACUUCUAUGGAAGAAAGAUAUUAAAGUGGAACUCCACAACUAUUCCAGAUAUCAUAUAGAUGUGGUGAUAAUUGAAGGAGAUGGUUUCAGAUGA
Molecule: ribosomal RNA, 300 nt
Filed under: Triticum aestivum (bread wheat)
Lineage: Eukaryota; Viridiplantae; Streptophyta; Magnoliopsida; Poales; Poaceae
Description: partial small subunit ribosomal RNA
Source: RNAcentral